CCUACGGGAGGCAGCAGUGAGGAAUAUUGGUCAAUGGGCGGAAGCCUGAACCAGCCAAGUAGCGUGCGGGAUGAAGGCUCUACGGGUCGUAAACCGCUUUUGCACGGGGAUAACACCCUCCACUUGUGGAGGUCUGCAGGUACCGUGCGAAUAAGGGCCGGCAAAUUCCGUGCCAGCAGCCGCGGUAAUACGGAGGGCCCGAGCGUUAUCCGGAUUCAUUGGGCUUAAAGGGAGCGUAGGCGGGCGUUCAAGUCAGCGGUAAAAUCGCGCGGCUCAACCGCGCCCCGCAGUUGAAACUGGACGCCUUGAGUUCACGACAGGCAGGCGGAAUUCGUGGUGUAGCGGUGAAAUGCAUAGAUAUCACGAGGAACUCCGAUUGCGAAGGCAGCCUACUAAACUGCCACUGACAUUGAUGCUCGAAAGUGUGGGUAUCAAACAGGAUUAGAUACCCGUGUAGUC
RNAcentral lists this ribosomal RNA (459 nucleotides) under uncultured bacterium. RNAcentral describes it as "partial 16S ribosomal RNA". It matches the Rfam family "Bacterial small subunit ribosomal RNA", at positions 338 to 795 of the family's 1533-position model. The record is from RNAcentral.